Molecule: ribosomal RNA, 497 nt
Filed under: uncultured bacterium
Lineage: Bacteria
Description: partial 16S ribosomal RNA
Rfam family: Bacterial small subunit ribosomal RNA
Source: RNAcentral
GAUGAACGCUGGCGGCGUGCCUAAUACAUGCAAGUCGAGCGAACGGACGAGAAGCUUGCUUCUCUGAUGUUAGCGGCGGACGGGUGAGUAACACGUGGAUAACCUACCUAUAAGACUGGGAUAACUUCGGGAAACCGUAGCUAAUACCGGAUAAUAUUUUGAACCGCAUGGUUCAAAAGUGAAAGACGGUCUUGCUGUCACUUAUAGAUGGAUCCGCGCUGCAUUAGCUAGUUGGUAAGGUAACGGCUUACCAAGGCAACGAUGCAUAGCCGACCUGAGAGGGUGAUCUGCCACACUGGAACUGGGACGCGGUCCAGACUCCUACGGGAGGCAGCAGUAGGGAAUCUUCCGCAAUGGGCGAAAGCCUGACGGAGCAACGCCGCGUGAGUGAUGAAGGUCUUCGGAUCGUAAAACUCUGUUAUUAGGGAAGAACAUAUGUGUAAGUAACUGUGCACAUCUUGACGGUACCUAAUCAGAAAGCCACGGCUAACUACGUG